UGCUGCCACCACCCAAGUGCAGAACCCCUUUGAGAGCCCAGGAAUCAGAGCGCACUUUGGAAUUCCUUCCUGUAGGGUACCCUCAAGCCCUUUCACCCCUCCCCCGUAGGGAAGAGCUGAGAAAGAAAGAAAAAAGGAAAUCAGCUAUUGCCACCAGCUAAUUAAACAACAUAUGCACAAACCUCUUAAGAC
Long non-coding RNA from Dermochelys coriacea (leatherback sea turtle), 192 nucleotides. RefSeq lists it as uncharacterized. The record is from RefSeq and is a predicted model, not a curated record. The transcript has 2 exons. NCBI's taxonomy places the organism in Eukaryota, Metazoa, Chordata, Testudines, Dermochelyidae.